UGGGGAAUAUUGGACAAUGGGCGCAAGCCUGAUCCAGCCAUGCCGCGUGCAGGAAGAAGCAUCUAUGGUGUGUAAACUGCUUUUGUACGGGAAGAAACACUCCUUCGUGAAGGAGCUUGACGGUACCGUAAGAAUAAGGAUCGGCUAACUCCGUGCCAGCAGCCGCGGUAAUACGGAGGAUCCAAGCGUUAUCCGGUAUCAUUGGGUUUAAAGGGUCCGCAGGCGGUUUAGUAAGUCAGUGGUGAAAGCCCAUCGCUCAACGAUGGAACGGCCAUUGAUACUGCUAGACUUGAAUUAUUAGGAAGUGACUAGAAUAUGUAGUGUAGCGGUGAAAUGCUUAGAUAUGACAUAGAAUACCAGUAGCGAAGGCAGGUUACUACUAAUGGAUUGACGCUGAUGGACGAAAGCGUGGGGAGCGAACA
Molecule: ribosomal RNA, 422 nt
Filed under: uncultured bacterium
Lineage: Bacteria
Description: bacterial SSU rRNA
Rfam family: Bacterial small subunit ribosomal RNA
Source: RNAcentral